GACGAACGCUGGCGGCGUGCCUAAUACAUGCAAGUAGAACGCACAGUUUAUACCGUAGCUUGCUGCACCAUAGACUGUGAGUUGCGAACGGGUGAGUAACGCGUAGGUAACCUGCCUGGUAGCGGGGGAUAACUAUUGGAAACGAUAGCUAAUACCGCAUAAUAUUAAUUAUUGCAUGAUAAUUAAUUGAAUGGUGCAAUUGCACCACUACCAGAUGGACCUGCGUUGUAUUAGCUAGUAGGUGAGGUAACGGCUCACCUAGGCGACGAUACAUAGCCGACCUGAGAGGGUGAUCGGCCACACUGGGACUGAGACACGGCCCAGACUCCUACGGGAGGCAGCAGUAGGGAAUCUUCGGCAAUGGACGAAAGUCUGACCGAGCAACGCCGCGUGAGUGAAGAAGGUUUUCGGAUCGUAAAGCUCUGUUGUAAGAGAAGAACGGGUGUGAGAGUGGAAAGUUCACACUGUGACGGUAUCUUACCAGAAAGGGACGGCUAACUACGUG
This 505-nucleotide ribosomal RNA is filed under the name uncultured bacterium. Its description in RNAcentral is "partial 16S ribosomal RNA". It matches the Rfam family "Bacterial small subunit ribosomal RNA", at positions 28 to 507 of the family's 1533-position model. The record is from RNAcentral.